Molecule: ribosomal RNA, 253 nt
Filed under: uncultured bacterium
Lineage: Bacteria
Description: partial 16S ribosomal RNA
Rfam family: Bacterial small subunit ribosomal RNA
Source: RNAcentral
UACGGAGGGUGCAAGCGUUGUCCGGAAUCACUGGGCGUAAAGGGCGCGUAGGCGGCUCAUGAAGGCUGUGGUGAAAGUCCGGGGCUCAACCUCGGAUCGGCCGUGGCGACUCGUGGGCUGGAGCACUGUAGAGGCGGGUGGAAUUCCGGGUGUAGCGGUGAAAUGCGCAGAUAUCAGGAGGAACACCAAUGGCGAAGGCAGCUCGCUGGAACGGUACUGACGCUGAGACGCGAAAGCGUGGGGAGCAAACAGG